GCGGGAUCGCGUCUCCGAUGUGAUAAUUUCUACAUCGUU
This 39-nucleotide ribosomal RNA is filed under the name Schizophyllum commune. Its description in RNAcentral is "partial 28S ribosomal RNA". Lineage: Eukaryota; Fungi; Basidiomycota; Agaricomycetes; Agaricales; Schizophyllaceae. The record is from RNAcentral.